RNAcentral lists this ribosomal RNA (253 nucleotides) under uncultured prokaryote. Its description in RNAcentral is "partial 16S ribosomal RNA". It matches the Rfam family "Bacterial small subunit ribosomal RNA", at positions 525 to 777 of the family's 1533-position model. The record is from RNAcentral.
ACGUAGGGUGCGAGCGUUGUCCGGAAUUAUUGGGCGUAAAGAGCUUGUAGGCGGUUUGUCGCGUCUGCUGUGAAAGACCGGGGCUCAACUUCGGUUUUGCAGUGGAUACGGGCAUGCUUGAGGUAGGUAGGGGAGACUGGAAUUCCUGGUGUAGCGGUGAAAUGCGCAGAUAUCAGGAGGAACACCGGUGGCGAAGGCGGGUCUCUGGGCCUUACCUGACGCUGAGGAGCGAAAGCGUGGGGAGCGAACAGGA